Molecule: ribosomal RNA, 817 nt
Filed under: uncultured bacterium
Lineage: Bacteria
Description: bacterial SSU rRNA
Rfam family: Bacterial small subunit ribosomal RNA
Source: RNAcentral
AGAGUUUGAUCCUGGCUCAGGAUGAACGCUGGCGGCGUGCCUAAUACAUGCAAGUCGAGCGAACAGACGAGGAGCUUGCUCCUCUGACGUUAGCGGCGGACGGGUGAGUAACACGUGGAUAACCUACCUAUAAGACUGGGAUAACUUCGGGAAACCGGAGCUAAUACCGGAUAAUAUAUUGAACCGCAUGGUUCAAUAGUGAAAGACGGUUUUGCUGUCACUUAUAGAUGGAUCCGCGCCGCAUUAGCUAGUUGGUAAGGUAACGGCUUACCAAGGCAACGAUGCGUAGCCGACCUGAGAGGGUGAUCGGCCACACUGGAACUGAGACACGGUCCAGACUCCUACGGGAGGCAGCAGUAGGGAAUCUUCCGCAAUGGGCGAAAGCCUGACGGAGCAACGCCGCGUGAGUGAUGAAGGUCUUCGGAUCGUAAAACUCUGUUAUUAGGGAAGAACAAAUGUGUAAGUAACUAUGCACGUCUUGACGGUACCUAAUCAGAAAGCCACGGCUAACUACGUGCCAGCAGCCGCGGUAAUACGUAGGUGGCAAGCGUUAUCCGGAAUUAUUGGGCGUAAAGCGCGCGUAGGCGGUUUUUUAAGUCUGAUGUGAAAGCCCACGGCUCAACCGUGGAGGGUCAUUGGAAACUGGAAAACUUGAGUGCAGAAGAGGAAAGUGGAAUUCCAUGUGUAGCGGUGAAAUGCGCAGAGAUAUGGAGGAACACCAGUGGCGAAGGCGACUUUCUGGUCUGUAACUGACGCUGAUGUGCGAAAGCGUGGGGAUCAAACAGGAUUAGAUACCCUGGUAGUCCACGCCGUAAAC